Molecule: non-coding RNA, 4521 nt
Organism: Lactuca sativa (garden lettuce)
Lineage: Eukaryota; Viridiplantae; Streptophyta; Magnoliopsida; Asterales; Asteraceae
Source: RefSeq, a predicted model, not a curated record
UCUCUAAACACCUUUCAAGAAGAAGCAGUAGAGGGUUUUAUUUUUGAGGCACCACCUUUCCUCUCUUUUUCUUCUAUCGAUACCAUUGUUUCCUCUUUCUUUCAUUCUCCGGCGUUCAACAAUCAUCUGCGUUCCCCUCUUCAUCUCUUAGUAUUUUCAAUUAGGCCUAGGUUCUUCAGCCCUCCCUUCAUCACUGGGUUCAUCGGGAUAUUGGGUUGUACCUUUAUGCUUUGAGGUUGUAGUAUAACGUCUGGUUCCAAUGUCAGUUCACAGUCAUCAUCGAUCAAGUAAAGGAGUGCAUAUUUUUCUCCUCUAAUUUCUAGGUAGCGUGUAUCUUUUCAACAACGAUUUCUGUUUUUUUUUUCUUUCUAAGAAUUGCGUCAUCGUCACUAAAAGGAUCAAACACUAUACCCAAGGAUCUACUUGAACUAUAACAAAGGUAAAUUAAUGACAUGAUUUUACUUAAUUAUACCGAGUGAAAGUUGCACAUAGUUCUGAGAGUUCAACUUUUAUCAUUUUAAAAUUAUUUAUUUAUUCAUUUGCCCUUGCAGCUUCUCAACUUGAUUUUGUACUACAGUACUAACAUAGUUCCAAAUUUUCAAUAACAAACUUGUACAUCUACUGAGUAGAUGUGUAUCCUUUUCAGACACCAUGAAUCCUUUGAUCAUCCUGUUAGUUACAUGUAAAGUUUUUCAAGUGCAUUGUUGCUCAUUUAAAUAACCUGGAUUUGAUUAUAAUGAAUGCAUGUGCAGGCUUUUUGGCUCAUUUAAAUUACAUAUUGUAAGUUCCUCGAGUUGAUAUUUUUAAAUGGUUUAAGUUGUGAUCAGUUGCUAAUCACUUUGACAUUUAGGUAGUUGGUGAGCUUUUUGUCAGAGAUUCGUUCUUCUGAUACUGGUAUGAUGGAUAAUCAUUUUCUUAUCAAUUGCACUGAUAAGAUUGUUUGAUGCUAGAACCUUCAACAACUCAUAUUGACUGGGUUAAAGGAAAUGAUGGGAUUAUAUAUGGGCAUUUUAUUUAGCAAAUUGGGACAUUAGGGAAGGAAAUGUCACAAGGUGUGGUCUUUGGUGGGUUGAAAUGUUAAAAUCAAGUGGUCAAUAUAAAGAGGAUGCUUGUGUUUACUUUCUUAUAUCUGAUGAGAAGGAUAAUGUGACAAUUCAUUCAACUCAAUAUGCCACAGAGAGAUUUGAAGUUGAUCAAUGGUCAAGCUUUUUGGAUUAUCAAGGCUGAGUCAUGGAUCCAGAUGCUUUAAAACAGAGAAUAUUCUAUAGGGGAGUGGACACACUUGCAAAAAGAGGUUUAUGCAUUCUUAUUCAUAAGAUUCAACAAUAUGUUAAAACAUCAGAGUACAUGACUAUCAAAAACCAAUAGCAGGUAAGAAACCAAACUGUACUUUGAUGAUUACUUAAUAUUAAUAUACAUGCAAAAUGUCUAAUACAGUAACAAUUUCCAUAUUGUAUUUUGUAUUUCUUUUGCUUAUUGAGACAGCGAACUUUCCAAAAGUUUUACCUUUGAACUUUUUCUUAUUAAGACUUUUUACUUUGAAAAUCUAAUAUUAUUAGACAUUGUACUUUUUAUUUCCAGCAUAGAAAAUGUACUUUGGAAAUCUAGACAACUAUAACAUAGUAAGAUAUUUUCUUCUACGUACUUUUUUUUUUUCCUAUUAAGACAUUGUUUAUUGAAAAUAUAAACAUGUUUUAUAUUGGUUAGCUGUAGCAUUACACUUUAAAUUUUCUUUUUAAUAAUGCCCAUAUUUAUUAUAGUGUUAUAUAUAUCUUAUCUUACUUUGGCACACAUAUGAAAGAUCCAACCAGAUGAUAUUAUGGUUAGGGAUGAGCAAAAGGACCGAACCGGACCGGAACCGAGAACCGGCUUCGGCCAAAAUCAAGAACCGUACUGGCCCGGCGGUUCUACCGGUUCCCGGUUCCUACCGGUUCUUGUCGUGUCUUCAAAUGUUGGAACCGGUCCACGAAAAAUAGCAUCAUAUGGUUCCGGUUUUUGCCGGUUCUACCGGUUCCUAACGGUUCCCGGCUCCAAAAAUCCACAAAAAUAACGUCCCGGUCCCGGCCCAACGGGUUCCAUCGGGUUCCGGUUCCGGUGCCGGUUCCGGUUUCGGUACCGGUUCCGACCGGUUCCCCGGUCCAUAUGCUCAUCCCUAAUUAUGGUGGCUUAGUUGGAUUUUAUUGUACUUAAUCACAUUUUGACAAAAUUGUUGUUUGUUUUAGACUUAAUGGGGACAAAACUUUACAUUGUAUUUUCAUAAUUAGGUGUGUGGCUAUUGCAUUGAAUCUCAAAUAAGGGUGCUGGGUGAUUACUGCUUUCUACCCAUUUAUUUAUAGCAUCAAACUUUCAUUUUUUUUUUUGCUUAUUAGGACAUUUUACUCUAAAAAGAUUUACCUAGUUAAGCAGUGAAAUGGAUUUGUAUUUGGGGAUGCCUGGCAUGUAGGGAUGUCAACGGGGGCAAACGGGACGGGGAGUGCAUUCCCCGCCCCCGCCCCCGAAAUUUCCUGGUUCCCUCGUCCCCGCCCCCACCCCCGAAAUGUUCAACCUUCCUACCCCCGCCCCGCCCUGCCCCCGAAUCCUCUUUAUUAUCCCCGCCCCCAAUUGAUUUUGAGCUGCCUUUUUUUUUGCUAAAAAAAGUUGUUAUCUAGGGUAAAAGAAGCUAUUUUUUAGGUAACAAAUAAUUAUUUAUAGCCGAAUCUUACACGUUAAAAAUAAAAAAAGUUAUGGCAUCUUAAAAACAUUAUACUAACAACUUAAAAAACAUAUUUUUUGAUGAAUUUUGGAAGAUCAAAAUCAUGUUAUUGUUUAUUAUGUUUACAUAAUUAAUAUAUGUAAAUAUAUGUUUAAUUUAUUAACGGGGUCCCCAUGGAGGUUUCGGGACGGGAUUGCCUACCCCUGCCCCCGCCCCCGAAAUUAAAACGGGGGUUAACCUUGCCCCCGCUCCCGUCCCCGCCUCUGAUUUUUUUUAAAAAAUUCCCCCAAACGGGACGAGGCCCCCACGGGAACAGGGUCCCACGGGACUUUUUGACAUUCCUACUGGCAUGCUCUUUUAGAAGCUGUAUACACAUUACCGUUACGUUUCUCCAUGUUUUGUAAAUUUUGGGUUUUAAUUUUCCCUGAUAUAUUACAUCUGAUGGGUUUGAUAUUUAGCAUAUCCAACUGAUUUUGGAAAAAAGCUUAUAUCAUAUCAGAUUGUGUAUUGUUCCUGAUAUAAGGCGAAUAGGCUUUUUUUUUUUUCUUUUUUCUUUUUUAUUAAGUGCUUCACUGAUAAAGUGCUACCUGGAUAAUGACGUCUUAUAUUUUCUGGAUUUGUGUCUAUAUCUAUGAUUGACUUGAUAAAAAUUGCUUUCUUUUAGCAAAGAAUUCAAUCUAUUUUAUAUGUUAAAAAGUUCACUUAAUUAAAAAGUUCUUAAUGUCAAAUUCAUAAUUAAGUGAUGCUUUCUUGUCUAUAUCAGUGGUCUUUCUCUUGCUCUUAUUGGAGGUUCCCUGAAACCACCCUUCCCCCUAUGUACAUAUGUAGUUGUUAAAAUUUGCAUGCUGUUCUUUUUACUCACUGAAAUUUAUGGAAUAUGGAUACAAAAAUGGAGAUUAUAAGUACUAACAGAUAGUAGUCCGUUUCUUGAUCAUCAGUUCAACAGCAUGUUCUUAUUGUCAGGUUGGUGAUUUAGGUCCAAAAGGGAGUCUUUUUUUGCAAUUUUGGUCCUUAUUUCAAGGUUUCAUAACGCUUUUGGUACUAGGGUUGUCACCUAGAUGUUAAAUUUAUGAAAAAUGACCAUUUUGUCCCUUUCAUCAUCAUCUCUUUUAUUUCCAUUUUAAAGGAGCAGGAUGAAAUUUCAACAAAAUUCUCUCUUUCCUUAUAAACAAUUAUCAUAUACUACAUUGAAGGAGCAAAACUAAAAUAUGGUACUUAUUUCUUGGUGUGAUAAUGUGUUUGCUCUCUAGGUCUCGACUUCAAACAGCCUAUAUUCUAAAUUUAUGAAAAGGACCAUUUUGCCAAUGUCAUUUUCAUCUCUUCCAUUUCCAUGUUGAAGGAUCAUAUUUUACCCUCAACAAAAUUCACCACUUCUCUUAAAAAAUUAUUUGGCUUACGUUUAAGGAGCAUAACAACUUUAACAACACAGAUGUUAAAUAUUUGUAUAUGACCAGUUUUGCCCCCGUCUUCUUCUUCUUCUUUUUCAUUUCUAUGUUCAAGCAAAUUAAAUAAAACCUCAAAAAAAUUCAUCUCUUCAUUUCCACAUUUAGAAGUUAUUGUUUUUACUGGGAAACAACCUUACAAGUGACAACCUUGUUUUGGGUCAUUUUCAAAGUCAAAGCCAAAGUCAAAAUGAAAGGAGACAUAAUUGGGCUUCCAAUGAUCACCAGCCUCUCCAAAUGGCUACCAAAAAUAAUUAGGCUUUGCUCUCAUAUAAUUUUUACACACUAUCACGACAAACUUAUUAUUUUUCAUAUUUUUUUGGCAGUUUGAUAAAUUGUUAUUGGUGUGGGGAAAGCCAUAAUAUCAAGAUACUUACAUUUCUUUUA